UGAUAGUUUUUAAAGGGCCGCGGUAAUUUGACCGUGCAAAGGUAGCAUAAUCGUUAGUUUUUUAAUUGGAAUCUUGUAUGAAUGGUUGAACAAAAGAAUAACUGUCUCUAUGUUUUUAUUGAAUUUAACUUUUAAGUGAAAAGGCUUAGAUAUUUUAAAAAGACGAUAAGACCCUAUAAAGCUUGAUAAAUUUUGUUAUUUAGCUAAAUUAGUGUUUAUAAAAGUUUAGUGAUAAUGAUUUAUUUUAUUGGGGCGAUAAUGAUAAAAUGUUUGUUAACUGUUAACAAAAAAGACACGGUUUGAUGUGUAAGUUUAUAAAUGAUCCUUAAAUUAAGAUUUAAAGAUUAAGUUACUUUAGGGAUAACAGCGUUAUUUUUUUUGAGAGUUCAUAUCGAAAAAAAAGUUUGCGACCUCGAUGUUGAAUUAAAAUUUCUAUAUAGUUGCAGAAGUUAUAUUAGAGGGUCUGUUCGACCUUUAAAUUUUUA
This 485-nucleotide ribosomal RNA is filed under the name Tubuca rhizophorae. RNAcentral's name for it is "partial 16S ribosomal RNA". It matches the Rfam family "Bacterial large subunit ribosomal RNA", at positions 1914 to 2598 of the family's 2925-position model. Lineage: Eukaryota; Metazoa; Arthropoda; Malacostraca; Decapoda; Ocypodidae. The record is from RNAcentral.